AGCUGAGGACGACCUCAGGCUGCACCACUCACCGGGGACGGCCCC
Molecule: non-coding RNA, 45 nt
Filed under: Pseudomonas sp. 9Ag
Lineage: Bacteria; Pseudomonadati; Pseudomonadota; Gammaproteobacteria; Pseudomonadales; Pseudomonadaceae
Description: mini-ykkC
Rfam family: Guanidine-II riboswitch aptamer (mini-ykkC)
About the family: Simpler in structure and has fewer highly conserved nucleotide positions than the ykkC-yxkD leader. Despite this each of its two stem-loop structures directly bind free guanidine.
Source: RNAcentral